AUGGAACAAUGUAGGCAAGGGAAGUCGGCAAAACGGAUCCGUAACUUCGGGAAAAGGAUUGGCUCUGAGGACUGGGCUCGGGGGUCCCGGCCCCGAACCCGUCGGCUGUCGGCGGAUUGCUCGAGCUGCUCACGCGGCAAGAGCGGGUCGCCGCGUGCCGGCCGGGGGACGGACCGGGAAUCGCCCCUUCGGGGGCUUUCCCCGAGCAUGAAACAGUCGACUCAGAACUGGUACAGACAAGGGGAAUCCGACUGUUUAAUUAAAACAAAGCAUUGCGAUGGUCCUCGCGGAUGCUGA
This 297-nucleotide ribosomal RNA is filed under the name Triticum aestivum (bread wheat). Its description in RNAcentral is "partial small subunit ribosomal RNA". It matches the Rfam family "Eukaryotic large subunit ribosomal RNA", at positions 1890 to 2184 of the family's 3401-position model. Lineage: Eukaryota; Viridiplantae; Streptophyta; Magnoliopsida; Poales; Poaceae. The record is from RNAcentral.